Salvia miltiorrhiza (redroot sage) is the source of this 787-nucleotide long non-coding RNA. RefSeq lists it as uncharacterized. Lineage: Eukaryota; Viridiplantae; Streptophyta; Magnoliopsida; Lamiales; Lamiaceae. The record is from RefSeq and is a predicted model, not a curated record. The transcript is spliced from 2 exons.
CCAAUUUUAUAGAUAUGCGAUGAUACAAAGAAAUUAGAUUUUCAGAUACAACUUUACACAAUGACUGUAGGGAAUUAUUUACAUCACCACUAUUCCCUACUUACAAUCAAAACCUAUCACUAUCACAAAACACUACAGCUACAUACCUACAAGCAUGCGGGAGAUAACGCGUGAGUGUAAAAAGAAGAAAAAUGAGAGAAGACCAAUCGGCUCCUCCCUUCAAUUCAGCCAACCACCAUCUCCAAUCCUUUGACUUUACAGCCAACAACUCACGCAUUAAAGCACCAGCCUAACACUUCAUUCCUUCUCUCAUACACCAACCACCAGAAAGGGAGAUGAAGAGAAGUUAAUUCCUGCUGCCAACUGCCAAGUAUCGAGAGUUCCUUCCCCAUUGAAUUCAAUAAUAACAGCAGCCAAUCAAGCACAAAAUACACAAGGCUUUGUGACCAGGGGGAUUAGCGCUGCUUUCCCAAGACAGGUUUUUAUGUGUAUGAUCUUCAGGCUUUGCCUAUCCAGGUUGAGCUGAUGUGAUGAUGGUGCUGCAAUGAGCGGAGUUUCCAGGGUUGUUAAUAAAUAGUUAACCUGUCUAGAAUAUGUCUUCAUACAUAUGUCUGGCUACUUUCCGCUGCAAGAUGUUGUUGAUGUUAUAGUAUGUUAUGUCAUACUUUGAGUCUUAAGAGAAUGGUUUCAUAUGAUGUAUAACUUGAUUAAUGAUAUUAAUUAAGUUUUAUGCUGUCUUUCAUAGACUAUUUUCAAUUGAGUAUUCAUGAAUAAAAAUGACGAGUUU